UACGAAGGGGGCUAGCGUUGUCCGGAAUUAUUGGGCGUAAAGGGCUCGUAGGCGGUUUGUCGCGUCGGGAGUGAAAACUCAGGGCUUAACCCUGAGCCUGCUCCCGAUACGGGCAGACUAGAGGUAUGCAGGGGAGAACGGAAUUCCUGGUGUAGCGGUGAAAUGCGCAGAUAUCAGGAGGAACACCGGUGGCGAAGGCGGUUCUCUGGGCAUUACCUGACGCUGAGGAGCGAAAGUGUGGGGAGCGAACAGG
RNAcentral lists this ribosomal RNA (253 nucleotides) under uncultured bacterium. RNAcentral's name for it is "partial 16S ribosomal RNA". It matches the Rfam family "Bacterial small subunit ribosomal RNA", at positions 524 to 776 of the family's 1533-position model. The record is from RNAcentral.